RNAcentral lists this unclassified non-coding RNA (205 nucleotides) under chlamydia-associated clinical sample 714-G. Its description in RNAcentral is "intergenic spacer region". The record is from RNAcentral.
UAAGGAAGCGAAGGAUAUGAGAGCAGGAAUGCUAAGAGAAGUAUCCAGAGCAAGCGGAACGACACUGAGAAACUUUGUUUAGUUUUGAGGGUAGUACCUCAAAAAGCUAGUACAUGAAACUGAAUAUACCAAGGUCUAAAAACCGAGACAAUCAAAGAGAACAGAUGUAGAGCCGACGAGAAGAGAUUCUUGAGUUAAGGUCAAG